Molecule: ribosomal RNA, 494 nt
Filed under: uncultured bacterium
Lineage: Bacteria
Description: partial 16S ribosomal RNA
Rfam family: Bacterial small subunit ribosomal RNA
Source: RNAcentral
GACGAACGCUGGCGGCGUGCUUAACACAUGCAAGUCGAACGGAAAGGCCUGCUUUCCCUUGUGGAUUGCGGGUACUCGAGUGGCGAACGGGUGAGUAACACGUGAGUGAUCUGCCCCCAACUUGGGUAUAAGCCUGGGAAACUGGGUCUAAUUCCCGAUAGGACUGCAGGGUGGUGCCUGUGGUGGAAAACGAUUUUCUAGUGGUUGGGGAUGAGCUCGCGGCCUAUCAGCUUGUUGGUGGGGUAAUGGCCUACCAAGGCGGCGACGGGUAGCCGGCCUGAGAUGGUGGACGGCCACAUUGGGACUGAGAUACGGCCCAGACUCCUACGGGAGGCAGCAGUGGGGAGUAUGGCACAAUGGGCGGAAGCCUGAGGCAGCGACGCCGCGUGGGGGAUGACGGCCUUCGGGUUGUAAACUCCUUUCGACCGCGAGGAAGCCACCUGGUUGGAAGGGUGGUGACGGUAGUGGUAGAAGAAGCACCGGCUAACUACGUG